UUCUUUAUCACCGAGUGCUUGCACUCACCGAUAAAGAGUUGAGUGGCGAACGGGUGAGUAACACGUGGGCAACCUGCCCAAAAGAGGGGGAUAACACUUGGAAACAGGUGCUAAUACCGCAUAACCAUAGUUACCGCAUGGUAACUAUGUAAAAGGUGGCUAUGCUACCGCUUUUGGAUGGGCCCGCGGCGCAUUAGCUAGUUGGUGGGGUAAAGGCUUACCAAGGCAAUGAUGCGUAGCCGAACUGAGAGGUUGAUCGGCCACAUUGGGACUGAGACACGGCCCAAACUCCUACGGGAGGCAGCAGUAGGGAAUCUUCCACAAUGGGCGAAAGCCUGAUGGAGCAACGCCGCGUGGGUGAAGAAGGUCUUCGGAUCGUAAAACCCUGUUGUUAGAGAAGAAAGUGCGUGAGAGUAACUGUUCACGUUUCGACGGUAUCUAACCAGAAAGCCACGGCUAACUACGUGCCAGCAGCCGCGGUAAUACGUAGGUGGCAAGCGUUAUCCGGAUUUAUUGGGCGUAUAGGGAACGCAGGCGGUCUUUUAAGUCUGAUGUGAAAGCCUUCGGCUUAACCGGAGUAGUGCAUUGGAAACUGGGAGACUUGAGUGCAGAAGAGGAGAGUGGAACUCCAUGUGUAGCGGUGAAAUGCGUAGAUAUAUGGAAGAACACCAGUGGCGAAAGCGGCUCUCUGGUCUGUAACUGACGCUGAGGUUCGAAAGCGUGGGUAGCAAACAGGAUUAGAUACCCUGGUAGUCCACGCCGUAAA
RNAcentral lists this ribosomal RNA (766 nucleotides) under uncultured bacterium. RNAcentral's name for it is "bacterial SSU rRNA". It matches the Rfam family "Bacterial small subunit ribosomal RNA", at positions 71 to 806 of the family's 1533-position model. The record is from RNAcentral.